UACAGAGGUGGCAAGCGUUGUCCGGAAUCACUGGGCGUAAAGGGCGCGUAGGCGGCCUGAUAAGUAGGGGGUGAAAUCCUGAGGCUUAACCUCAGGGCUGCCUUCUAAACUGUCAGGCUCGAGCACAGUAGAGGCAGGUGGAAUUCCCGGUGUAGCGGUGGAAUGCGUAGAGAUCGGGAAGAACAUCAGUGGCGAAGGCGGCCUGCUGGGCUGUUGCUGACGCUGAGGCGCGACAGCGUGGGGAGCAAACAGG
This 253-nucleotide ribosomal RNA is filed under the name uncultured bacterium. RNAcentral's name for it is "partial 16S ribosomal RNA". It matches the Rfam family "Bacterial small subunit ribosomal RNA", at positions 524 to 776 of the family's 1533-position model. The record is from RNAcentral.